AUUUCUAAAAGGCAAGAAAUGAGUGCAACCCGUUCAGUGGUGCAGUCAGGACAGAGGCUGCUUGUCUGCAUGAGGGCUGCUGGUCCGUCAGGUUGAAGAUAGGAAGAUUAGCCCCAGUUCAGCCCUGCAUGAGCCCUUUCUCUGCCCCUUCUCUCUGACCUUCCAUGGAUGUGUUCUCUUCCUGAUGGUGUCUGAAAGCUGCCUAGGGCUGUGUGCUCCUGUGUGAGGCCAGGCUAAUAUGGCGAGCUGGAGGAAGAUAACUUUGAACCAGUAACACGUCCUUGUGCCCAUGAAGGCCAAUGGGUCUAAAUAUCUCCAACCUCUUCCCUCCGAACUGAAGAGAAGAUUGUCAGAAUUCACUGCAUGGACUACAAGCAAAAGUGCUCCCAACUGAAAAAUCCAACUGUUGUUCUCUUAGUUUGAAUGCAAAACCAGUAUUUUUCCAAAUGGCGAUACUAGAGGGAGUAGUCACACAGAUUUUAGAGACUCACAGUUGAGUACUUGAAGAUUUUGGUAUCUACUUUUAAAGAUGUCCUUUUUGACUGUAGAAAAUCACAGACUUUGAAUUUAAUAGUUAAAAUUUCCCAGGAGAGCUGGUCUCUGACCUCCAUGCCCCAGGGUGUUUGUUUGCUUACUAAGCACACCUGAAGUAUAUUUAUCUCACUUGCACAUAUUUUAGAGUACAGCAGUCACAGAAAAUAUAUAUAUUUAUGUUUUUCCUUACAUAAAUAAUUAUUUCUAAAAGAGUGCGGCAGCAUCAACUUGAACUGAUGGUAAUGAUACAUUUUGAAACAGACUUGGAUCUGUUGAAAUUUGCUCAUAUAUUCAAACUGCUGUCAUUGCAGGCCUGACAUAGUCUGUCCAAGAGCUCUUCCCUGGUCAUUCUUUAGAUUUGCAUUUUCUCUAUUCCCAAGAAAUCUUCAUGCAGGGAAAAGAUUCUGAGCUCCACUAAGUCAAAGAAGACAAUAUUCAAAUCCAGAAAGAUCCUUUGUUAGUAACUUGCCUAAGAUACAUACACCUAUUUUUUAAUCAUGGAAAACCUGGAAACCUAAAAUAGGCAUUUAGGCUUUGUAUCUAAAGCAUAAAUGAAAUUGCAUGCCUUAUGGUGGGAACGUACAAAAAGAGCAAGCUCCCAGAGUUGGCAAAAGUGGCCUGAGUUUAUCCUAAAUCCUUCCCAUGCCAAGAGAGGACAGUUUGCCGUGACUACCAGAGAAAUUGAUGCAAUCACUGCUUCAUCCUGGGAAGACUGCUCUAAGCAGGUAAGAGCAGGCUGUCCUUACCAUCUUGCUCCUUCUGAAAUCUGCAGCACUGAUUAUGUUUGUAUGGACCUGACUUGACAUUUUGUCUACUGGAUCAAUUCUGUUAGACAUCAAAGGUGAAGAAUCACUUAACCUGUGGAUCCUAGCAGGAUAUUAGCUGAGAUCUGGCAGAAAUCGCUAUUAUGUGUACAUAGUAAAGCAGAAUUUUUUGAGGACAUGCAGUUGACACAUUGGCACCAAUACAAGUGGACCUUGCAUGGAAUUUAGGCAGUAGUGAUAGUUUGGUACAAAAUUGUUUCCCUCAAGAAAAUUUGGUCACCUGGAUUCUGCAAGCAUAGCACUAAUGCUACCGGUUCAGAGUUAGAUUUCCAAAAUACCUAUCCCAAAAUCUCAUUUGCUUUCAGCUGUGAUUGGGCACAGAUUCAGGUUCUGGAAGUCUCUAACCCCAUUGAAUAUGGUUUGUAAGAACUUUUAUAAUAUAAUUAUAUUUAUUCAUGGUAAAAGAGCAUAUUUGGUGGAUAACAUUUUUUGCUAACAGAAAAUACAUGUAUCAGAAAGGUAUGAAACAUCUUUAAAACAUUCUUCUCAAGCAAUCAUUACUGUUUGAAACCCAAACAGUGAUUUUGUUGGAAUAAAACAGAUCUAUUUCUUAAAG
Long non-coding RNA from Gallus gallus (chicken), 1914 nucleotides. NCBI's taxonomy places the organism in Eukaryota, Metazoa, Chordata, Aves, Galliformes, Phasianidae. The record is from Ensembl.